RNAcentral lists this ribosomal RNA (508 nucleotides) under uncultured bacterium. RNAcentral describes it as "partial 16S ribosomal RNA". It matches the Rfam family "Bacterial small subunit ribosomal RNA", at positions 28 to 523 of the family's 1533-position model. The record is from RNAcentral.
GAUGAACGCUAGCUACAGGCUUAACACAUGCAAGUCGAGGGGAAACGAUAGAGAAAGCUUGCUUUUUCUAGGCGUCGACCGGCGCACGGGUGAGUAACGCGUAUCCAACCUGCCCAUCACUUGGGGAUAACCUUGCGGAAGUAAGACUAAUACCCAAUGAUAUCUCUAGAAGACAUCUGAAGGAGAUUACAGAAUUAUCGGUGAGGGAUGGGGAUGCGUCUGAUUAGCUUGUUGGCGGGGUAACGGGCCACCAAGGCGACGAUCAGUAGGGGUUCUGAGAGGACGGUGCCCCACCUUGGAACUGAGACACGGUCCAAACUCCUACGGGAGGCAGCAGUGAGGAAUAUUGGUCAAUGGACGAGAGUCUGAACCAGCCAAGUAGCGUGCAGGAUGGCGGCCCUAUGGGUUGUAAACUGCUUUUAUAAGGGAAUAAAGUGAGUCUCGUGAGACUUUUUGCAUGUACCUUAUGAAUAAGGACCGGCUAAUUCCGUGCCAGCCGCCGCUGUAA